Molecule: ribosomal RNA, 833 nt
Filed under: Mycocitrus zonatus
Lineage: Eukaryota; Fungi; Ascomycota; Sordariomycetes; Hypocreales; Bionectriaceae
Description: eukaryotic LSU rRNA
Rfam family: Eukaryotic large subunit ribosomal RNA
Source: RNAcentral
AUAAGCGGAGGAAAAGAAACCAACAGGGAUUGCCUCAGUAACGGCGAGUGAAGCGGCAACAGCUCAAAUUUGAAAUCUGGCCUCACGGUCCGAGUUGUAAUUUGUAGAGGAUGCUUUUGGCGAGGUGCUUUCCGAGUUCCCUGGAACGGGACGCCAUAGAGGGUGAGAGCCCCGUACGGUAAGACCACCGAGCCUCUGUAAAGCUCCUUCGACGAGUCGAGUAGUUUGGGAAUGCUGCUCUAAAUGGGAGGUGUACGUCUUCUAAAGCUAAAUACCGGCCAGAGACCGAUAGCGCACAAGUAGAGUGAUCGAAAGAUGAAAAGCACUUUGAAAAGAGGGUUAAAAAGUACGUGAAAUUGUUGAAAGGGAAGCAUUCAUGACCAGACUUGGGCUUGGUUGAACAUCCGGCGUUCUCGCCGGUGCACUCUGCCAGUCCAGGCCAGCAUCAGUUUGCCCCGGGGGACAAAGGCGGUGGGAAUGUGGCUCUCUUCGGGGAGUGUUAUAGCCCGCCGUGUAAUGCCCUGGGGCGGACUGAGGAACGCGCUUCGGCACGGAUGCUGGCGUAAUGGUCAUCAAUGACCCGUCUUGAAACACGGACCCAAGGAGUCGUCUUCGUAUGCGAGUGUUCGGGUGUCAAACCCCUACGCGUAAUGAAAGUGAACGUAGGUGAGAGCUUCGGCGCAUCACCGACCGAUCCUGAUGUUCUCGGAUGGAUUUGAGUAAGAGCAUACGGGGCCGGACCCGAAAGAAGGUGAACUAUGCCUGUAUAGGGUGAAGCCAGAGGAAACUCUGGUGGAGGCUCGCAGCGGGUUCUGACGUGCAAAUCGAUCGUC